GAAGGUAUAGCUCGGUGGUAGAGUGCAUGCCUAGCAUGCACAAAGUCCUGGGUUCAAUUCCCAGUACCUCUG
Molecule: transfer RNA, 72 nt
Filed under: Camelus bactrianus (Bactrian camel)
Lineage: Eukaryota; Metazoa; Chordata; Mammalia; Artiodactyla; Camelidae
Also listed under: 2 other names
Rfam family: tRNA
About the family: Transfer RNA (tRNA) molecules are approximately 80 nucleotides in length. Their secondary structure includes four short double-helical elements and three loops (D, anti-codon, and T loops). Further hydrogen bonds mediate the characteristic L-shaped molecular structure. tRNAs have two regions of fundamental functional importance: the anti-codon, which is responsible for specific mRNA codon recognition, and the 3' end, to which the tRNAs corresponding amino acid is attached (by aminoacyl-tRNA synthetases). tRNAs cope with the degeneracy of the genetic code in two manners: having more than one tRNA (with a specific anti-codon) for a particular amino acid; and 'wobble' base-pairing, i.e. permitting non-standard base-pairing at the 3rd anti-codon position.
Source: Rfam by way of RNAcentral